UAGAUUGGAAGGAUCCUAGCCUUCUUUUGGAGCUUGAGUGAGAAUUUCUACUCCCUAGGUGAGUUUUUGCCCUACUCUUGUGAUUGUUAUUGUUCGAGCCUAGAGUUGCUCGUAAUGCUUGUGUAUCACUUCGCUGAUCACUUUUAGGGUAUUUGGAGGCUCGUGGACAACUCCGUUCGGCGAAUCGAAGGAGCACGCGACGGUUCGGUGGGUUUGACCUAGCCUAUGAUAUGAG
RNAcentral lists this long non-coding RNA (235 nucleotides) under Ananas comosus (pineapple). RNAcentral describes it as "long non-coding RNA (ACOM_LNC035037)". Lineage: Eukaryota; Viridiplantae; Streptophyta; Magnoliopsida; Poales; Bromeliaceae. The record is from RNAcentral.